This 270-nucleotide ribosomal RNA is filed under the name uncultured bacterium. RNAcentral's name for it is "partial 16S ribosomal RNA". It matches the Rfam family "Bacterial small subunit ribosomal RNA", at positions 30 to 258 of the family's 1533-position model. The record is from RNAcentral.
AUUGAACGCUGGCGGCAUGCCUUACACAUGCAAGUCGAACGCGAAAGGGGGCAACCCUGAGUAGAGUGGCGCACGGGUGAGUAAUGCAUCGGAACGUGUCCAGUAGUGGGGGACAACCAGUCGAAAGAUUGGCUAAUACCGCAUACGCUGGGAACAGGAAAGCGGGGGACCCUGAGCAGAGCGCGCUGAGAGGCGUUUGCGCUCUGCGCGUUGUGCUCAGGGCCUCGCGCUAUUGGAGCGGCCGAUGUCCGAUUAGCUAGUUGGUGAGGU